Molecule: long non-coding RNA, 378 nt
Filed under: Elaeis guineensis (African oil palm)
Lineage: Eukaryota; Viridiplantae; Streptophyta; Magnoliopsida; Arecales; Arecaceae
Description: long non-coding RNA (EGUI_LNC045664)
Source: RNAcentral
CGUCGGGUCCUGCAAAGGAAGUCUAAACCGGAGUUGGGGGUGCUCUGGCAAGAUCCUCCGACGCUCAAGUCAGUUCUCUGCCUCAACAAGAAUGGAGUGCUCGAACGAAAAUUUUAGCAGAGUUUUGAGAUAGAAAUUAGAGCUUAGAGAAUAACGUAUCUGGGGCCCCCUUUUUAUAGGUGGAGGGAGCAACGGAUUGAUAGCGACGUUUGUAACCACCUAGUAGUGGGCCGCUCGGGGUCAGGAGGAGUUUAUUAUGAAGAGUAAUGGGGUGGAGUCAUGGCUGUCACCAUGGCUCACCACGUGGAGUCUAUUGCAGAGAGUGGAGCGGCGUCCGUUGUCGUGACUCGCCAGGGAGUGGUGGAGCUGCACAGAAUC